GACGUAGGGUCCGAGCGUUGUCCGGAGUUACUGGGCGUAAAGGGCGCGUAGGCGGUCUUCUGCGUCACACGUGAAAGCCCCUGGCUCAACCAGGGAGGGUCGUGUGAAACGGGGGGACGUGGAGGCAGCGAGAGGCUGGUGGAAUUCCCGGAGUAGUGGUGAAAUGCGUAGAGAUCGGGAGGAAACACCGGGUGGCGAAGGGCGGCCAGCUGGCGCUGACCUGACGCUGAGGCGGCGAAAGGCAUGGGGGAGCGAACGGG
Molecule: ribosomal RNA, 260 nt
Filed under: uncultured bacterium
Lineage: Bacteria
Description: partial 16S ribosomal RNA
Rfam family: Bacterial small subunit ribosomal RNA
Source: RNAcentral